CACUGAGGGGUGAAGACGCAGGAAAACUAGUGUGUGGUGCAGUCGCAAGGACGACCUUUUGGUGUUGAAAAUAAGCAAAUGCAUAUAUCAUUAGACUUGGGCGUGAGGUACAAGCCAUUUUCUGUUUAGACUGGCGAGCCAUCAAAAAUAUUGUUGUAGGAUAAGAGCCCACCCCCCAAGAUGCUGGACUAGAUGCACCUGCAAGAAAUCUUUUUGCUGGCAAUCAGAAACCACUCGCCCAUUAAUGUUAUACCUGAAUAGAUAGAUUUUUUAAGGUUUUCUAUUUUGACAUGGAAUGAUGUUAAUAGUGAUAAAUAAAAAGGAGUAAGAUUCUGAAAAUGUUUGAAGAGAUUUAAAAUUAAAGUUAAAUUAAGCUUUGUUCAUGUGCCUAUGAUCACUCACUCGAUCUCUAGUAUAAAGUAGUGUUUUUCCAUGCUGUCACUGUUGCCAUCCGACCUAUUUUUCUUUACCAAUUUGCCAAAUCAAAUAUUUGUUAUACUAAAUUUGGUGGAAGUGUUUGUUUGACAAAAGGUCACGUUCAGUCUUAAAGUCAUGAUCGAAUUAUUUUCAUAAAAUUUUUUUUUUUUUUAGUUUGGAAUUUUUUGCUUGUAAUUUUGCAUAUUUUUGUUUUACUUUAGUUUUACUGGUACGUGUAGCUUUCUUCGGCGAAAAAGCUGGUUCCUUUCGAAAAUCGGCAUGAUUGGUUGGUUUUCAUACGGUUAUUUAGACAUUUUUUGUUGCUUGGCAGUCUUGUUGUCCAGUGUUUUCCUUUACUCAGUAUGUAAGGGGUUAUCACAAUUGCAUUAAAAUCUUUUUUAUGGGUUACUGUAAGUACUUUUUGUUUACAGACACUAUGGGAAUUCAUUCUCGCCAUGGAAUUGUAAUGUAGUAGUUUAUCGUUUAUAUUUGAUAUCUCUAAAAGUCUGUAAAAUUUACGGAUGCUCUCUUACUUUCUCGCUUGCCUUUAAAUUUCCGAUGUAAUUAUGGCUUACUUAUGUAGGAUGAUGGCUGUGUUAUACGAGCUUUUAUGUUCAGUUGAUAAUUUUAGACAUGGAGCAUUUGUUGAUGUAGUUGUUUUUUGAUGGUUUAAAAGAAAAUCAUGAAAUUGUGAACGGUGAAACGUUUACUUCUUUUAGCCAAGUAUUGUGGUAUGUAUUGUAGUUUUAUUUUUAGAAUUUUUAAAACUUUUCAUCCAUAUUGUUAUUGAUCCGUUUCUUUGAAUAUCUUUGUGUGAUCUCCAUUUAUAUUCCACAAUUACUAUCUAGUUGAAAUUUUGUUUCACUUCAAACUUGUUUUUUUAAGCAUACUUUUUUAAUAUCCCUUGGAACAAACUCAUUCAUUAAAAUUGAUUUUGAAUCAUGCCCAAUAUGAUCCAUAAUUAGUAUCAUAUGGCAUUUUGACAUUUAAAAAUUCUUUAACCUGAAAAAAUGUCCGAUUUUCCACCUACCUUCAUUAGAAAAUGCAUUUACAUUCUUGCCUUUAGAAAUUGUAAUCGCUAUUUAUUAUCCUUUAGAAAAAACUUGUUGGUCCCCUAGAGAUAAUGUUUUCUCAAUUUUCUUUACAUAGUUCAGAUCAAUAUUUGGAUUUUGCGGCUGCAAAUAAAUUCAUAAUGGACGA
Lingula anatina is the source of this 1617-nucleotide long non-coding RNA. RefSeq lists it as uncharacterized. Lineage: Eukaryota; Metazoa; Brachiopoda; Lingulata; Lingulida; Lingulidae. The record is from RefSeq and is a predicted model, not a curated record.